UGAAGACUGGAAUUGCUGUAAUGGCAGGUCAGCAUACUGCCGUGAAUACGUUCCCGGGCCCUUGUACACACCGCCCGUCACACCAUGAGAGUUGGAAAUACCCGAAGCCUGUGAGCUAACUUAAAGAGGCAGCAGUCGAAGGUAGAGCCAAUGAUUGGGGUGAAGUCGUAACAAGGUAAC
RNAcentral lists this ribosomal RNA (180 nucleotides) under uncultured bacterium. RNAcentral's name for it is "partial 16S ribosomal RNA". It matches the Rfam family "Bacterial small subunit ribosomal RNA", at positions 1321 to 1500 of the family's 1533-position model. The record is from RNAcentral.